This 253-nucleotide ribosomal RNA is filed under the name uncultured bacterium. RNAcentral's name for it is "partial 16S ribosomal RNA". It matches the Rfam family "Bacterial small subunit ribosomal RNA", at positions 524 to 776 of the family's 1533-position model. The record is from RNAcentral.
UACGUAGGGACCAAGCGUUGUUCGGAUUUACUGGGCGUAAAGGGUGCGCAGGCGGCCGGGUGUGUCAGAUGUGAAAUCCCGAGGCUCAACCUCGGAACUGCGUCUGAAACUACUCGGCUAGAGUACUGGAGAGGGUAACGGAAUUCACGGUGUAGCAGUGAAAUGCGUAGAUAUCGUGAGGAACACCAGAGGCGAAGGCGGUUACCUGGACAGUUACUGACGCUCAGGCACGAAAGCAUGGGGAGCAAAAGGG